UUAAGUUAUUAAGGGCGCACGGUGGAUGCCUUGGCACUAGAAGCCGAUGAAGGACGUUACUAACGACGAUAUGCUUUGGGGAGCUGUAAGUAAGCUUUGAUCCAGAGAUUUCCGAAUGGGGAAACCCAGCAUGAGUUAUGUCAUGUUAUCGAUAUGUGAAUACAUAGCAUAUCAGAAGGCACACCCGGAGAACUGAAACAUCUUAGUACCCGGAGGAAGAGAAAGAAAAUUCGAUUCCCUUAGUAGCGGCGAGCGAAACGGGAAGAGCCCAAACCAACAAGCUUGCUUGUUGGGGUUGUAGGACACUCUGUACGGAGUUACAAAGGACGACAUUAGACGAAUCAUCUGGAAAGAUGAAUCAAAGAAGGUAAUAAUCCUGUAGUCGAAAAUGUUGUCUCUCUUGAGUGGAUCCUGAGUACGACGGAGCACGUGAAAUUCCGUCGGAAUCUGGGAGGACCAUCUCCUAAGGCUAAAUACUCUCUAGUGACCGAUAGUGAACCAGUACCGUGAGGGAAAGGUGAAAAGCACCCCGGAAGGGGAGUGAAAUAGAACCUGAAACCGUGUGCUUACAAGUAGUCAGAGCCCGUUAAUGGGUGAUGGCGUGCCUUUUGUAGAAUGAACCGGCGAGUUACGAUUUGAUGCAAGGUUAAGCAGUAAAUGUGGAGCCGUAGCGAAAGCGAGUCUGAAUAGGGCGUUUAGUAUUUGGUCGUAGACCCGAAACCAGGUGAUCUACCCUUGGUCAGGUUGAAGUUCAGGUAACACUGAAUGGAGGACCGAACCGACUUACGUUGAAAAGUGAGCGGAUGAACUGAGGGUAGCGGAGAAAUUCCAAUCGAACCUGGAGAUAGCUGGUUCUCUCCGAAAUAGCUUUAGGGCUAGCCUCAAGUGAUGAUUAUUGGAGGUAGAGCACUGUUUGGACGAGGGGCCCCUCUCGGGUUACCGAAUUCAGACAAACUCCGAAUGCCAAUUAAUUUAACUUGGGAGUCAGAACAUGGGUGAUAAGGUCCGUGUUCGAAAGGGAAACAGCCCAGACCACCAGCUAAGGUCCCAAAAUAUAUGUUAAGUGGAAAAGGAUGUGGCGUUGCCCAGACAACUAGGAUGUUGGCUUAGAAGCAGCCAUCAUUUAAAGAGUGCGUAAUAGCUCACUAGUCGAGUGACACUGCGCCGAAAAUGUACCGGGGCUAAACAUAUUACCGAAGCUGUGGAUUGUCCUUUGGACAAUGGUAGGAGAGCGUUCUAAGGGCGUUGAAGCAUGAUCGUAAGGACAUGUGGAGCGCUUAGAAGUGAGAAUGCCGGUGUGAGUAGCGAAAGACGGGUGAGAAUCCCGUCCACCGAUUGACUAAGGUUUCCAGAGGAAGGCUCGUCCGCUCUGGGUUAGUCGGGUCCUAAGCUGAGGCCGACAGGCGUAGGCGAUGGAUAACAGGUUGAUAUUCCUGUACCACCUAUAAUCGUUUUAAUCGAUGGGGGGACGCAGUAGGAUAGGCGAAGCGUGCGAUUGGAUUGCACGUCUAAGCAGUAAGGCUGAGUAUUAGGCAAAUCCGGUACUCGUUAAGGCUGAGCUGUGAUGGGGAGAAGACAUUGAGUCUUCGAGUCGUUGAUUUCACACUGCCGAGAAAAGCCUCUAGAUAGAAAAUAGGUGCCCGUACCGCAAACCGACACAGGUAGUCAAGAUGAGAAUUCUAAGGUGAGCGAGCGAACUCUCGUUAAGGAACUCGGCAAAAUGACCCCGUAACUUCGGGAGAAGGGGUGCUCUUUAGGGUUAACGCCCAGAAGAGCCGCAGUGAAUAGGCCCAAGCGACUGUUUAUCAAAAACACAGGUCUCUGCUAAACCGUAAGGUGAUGUAUAGGGGCUGACGCCUGCCCGGUGCUGGAAGGUUAAGAGGAGUGGUUAGCUUCUGCGAAGCUACGAAUCGAAGCCCCAGUAAACGGCGGCCGUAACUAUAACGGUCCUAAGGUAGCGAAAUUCCUUGUCGGGUAAGUUCCGACCCGCACGAAAGGCGUAACGAUUUGGGCACUGUCUCAACGAGAGACUCGGUGAAAUCAUAGUACCUGUGAAGAUGCAGGUUACCCGCGACAGGACGGAAAGACCCCGUGGAGCUUUACUGUAGCCUGAUAUUGAAAUUCGGNNNNNNNNNNNNNNNNNNNNNNNNNNNNNNNNNNNNNNNNNNNNNNNNNNNNNNNNGCGGGCAGUUUGACUGGGGCGGUCGCCUCCUAAAAGGUAACGGAGGCGCUCAAAGGUUCCCUCAGAAUGGUUGGAAAUCAUUCAUAGAGUGUAAAGGCAUAAGGGAGCUUGACUGCGAGACCUACAAGUCGAGCAGGGUCGAAAGACGGACUUAGUGAUCCGGUGGUUCCGCAUGGAAGGGCCAUCGCUCAACGGAUAAAAGCUACCCCGGGGAUAACAGGCUUAUCUCCCCCAAGAGUUCACAUCGACGGGGAGGUUUGGCACCUCGAUGUCGGCUCAUCGCAUCCUGGGGCUGUAGUCGGUCCCAAGGGUUGGGCUGUUCGCCCAUUAAAGCGGUACGCGAGCUGGGUUCAGAACGUCGUGAGACAGUUCGGUCCCUAUCCGUCGUGGGCGUAGGAAAUUUGAGAGGAGCUGUCCUUAGUACGAGAGGACCGGGAUGGACAUACCUCUGGUGUACCAGUUGUCGUGCCAACGGCAUAGCUGGGUAGCUAUGUGUGGACGGGAUAAGUGCUGAAAGCAUCUAAGCAUGAAGCCCCCCUCAAGAUGAGAUUUCCCAACUUCGGUUAUAAGAUCCCUCAAAGAUGAUGAGGUUAAUAGGUUCGAGGUGGAAGCAUGGUGACAUGUGGAGCUGACGAAUACUAAUCGAUCGAAGACUUAAUCAA
Molecule: ribosomal RNA, 2844 nt
Filed under: Staphylococcus aureus
Lineage: Bacteria; Bacillati; Bacillota; Bacilli; Caryophanales; Staphylococcaceae
Description: 23S ribosomal RNA
Rfam family: Bacterial large subunit ribosomal RNA
Source: RNAcentral